Carassius carassius (crucian carp) is the source of this 829-nucleotide long non-coding RNA. RefSeq lists it as uncharacterized. The record is from RefSeq and is a predicted model, not a curated record. The transcript is spliced from 3 exons. NCBI's taxonomy places the organism in Eukaryota, Metazoa, Chordata, Actinopteri, Cypriniformes, Cyprinidae.
CGGCUUUCAACACGCCACGAAAUGUGACAGGUAGCUGUGAUAGCGCCAUACCCCCUCUACCUAUGCCAAGGGUACGAGCUCAGAGAAGAUCUGCGACGAGCGCGUUCAUGAGUACCCUACACGUUCACGUUUGGCAGCUCCACGUCGACAUUCCUUUAGCGACGGAGAGAGAGAGAGAGCGAGUGAGAGGGGGUCCAGCAAUGCAUUCAGUGUUUCGAGGCACAGCCAGGACGCAGGAGAGCCACCGGUCAACCAUGAGGGACCCCUGGAGCUGAUUGGUCCUCAGUGGGCAACCUUCUGAACUACGGCAAUUGCAAGCAAACUGACUGAAGCCCAAAUGAUUGCAGUAAAUGGCCUCGGAGCACUGUUUGGACUUUGUUCUUUGAUGAGUACUACACGUACCCUACCUACAUAUUACAUUGUUCAAGUCCAAUCAAAGUUGACGCUGAUAAAGACAGUUGGGCUACGCAAUUAAAUGAUAUGUGAUCUUCCAAACUUUACAGAUAGCACAUCUUUCCUGCUAACUUUUGUCUGAGGAGAUUUAAGGUAAAUUACUCAUUAAACUAGCCUUAUGACCUUAGUACCCAGGUCACAACCAGUAAAGGCUAAAGAUGAAAUUAAGUGUCCAUGCUUAUAUCCAUGAAUGAUAGUACUUUGCUGUUAGUUCCUCUAGGUCUAGAUCCAUAAUUUGGAUUUAUUGAAUCAUAAAAUGGAAAACACUAAACAUUUCGUUCCUCAAUUGUCAAAAUUAAUAAUGAAAUAUGAGAGCACUUUAAUGGCAUUCAAUUUGCAUUAAUAUGAUUUUGUUCAAUAAUAAUGUUAUAAUUUA